Non-coding RNA from Anas platyrhynchos (mallard), 1289 nucleotides. The record is from RefSeq and is a predicted model, not a curated record. NCBI's taxonomy places the organism in Eukaryota, Metazoa, Chordata, Aves, Anseriformes, Anatidae.
UCUUGUUGCCAUCCCGGGUAGAGCCGUACGUUAAAUGGGCGCACUUCCUACUGUAACUGCAGAGGUCACAAGCAAAGAGUAAGCAAUCAGCGAAGAACAAAGCAGGGCUGCUAUGACCUGAACUAUUUUGGCACGGAUGGACAUCUGUGUACAUGUUUCAGCUCAAACAGAAGUUGCUGGAUUACUGGAAUUGCUGGCAGUGAAACUGGGCCCUGUUACACGUCAAACAAUACGGGGUUGUAACAAUCUGAUUUGAAAAUCUGUUUACUCUUGCAGCUUCACGGAAAUUGCUCAGAUCUGUGUGUGUAAACCAAACCUCCAUCUGAUCAGCGCUACGUUCUCAUGCUCUCUGACCUUCUCGCUGUCAUUUUAAGUAUCAACUGGUGGUGCAGUCUGCAGAUUGUAUUCCCAGGAGACUACAUUGCUUCCCAGCUGCCUUUCUUUGGUUUCCUGUUCUGUGGGGAUACAGUCAGAGACCAGAGAAGAUCAGGAGCUUAGUGUUAUGGCAGCCAUUUCCAGAAAGUCGCAGAACAACAACUUUUCCCACAAAGGGGAGAAACACAGACAAGGACCGGACUCUUAACAUACAUGCAUUUUAAAACAAAAUGUGGUAAGUAAAAUCCUCUCUCUCAUGAUGCACCUGUGUCAUUAAGUCAUGCUUUAAUUAUAUUCUUGGUUAGGAGGUACAGUCUGUAGUUCCCCAUUUUUUUCAUUAACUUCCCCUUCAGACCAGAAAAUGUGCUGGCUUAGAGGCAGAGCAGGACUUCGGACUUUGACCAUAUCUUGCUAGAGCUGAAAAUGACAAGACGUAAGAAAUUCUUAACCAAAUUCAGGUUGUAAGAUAAUGACACAGAAUCAUCAACUGAAGAAAAACAAAAAACAUUCAAUACCUUAUUUGGUUUUGCUUUGGUAUAGGAAGUGAGGGAAACCAAAAAGAAAAGUCUGCAUAUCAGGAUAUGUGCUAUCCCUCAUUGCUCUUCCUACUCAUAAAUACCAAUUUUCAGUUUCUCAUUCUAUGGGGUUUUCUAGUAUUUAUGAAUGGAAAGCAAGAAUGCCUGGUAUCUAGGCUACGAUCUUCAGAGUAGCCACUUAUUUUUUCUACACACAAGCCCUGUCACUGGAAAUGUCCUACUUAUUGCACCAAUUAAGAUUUCCUCUUUCUUCUUCUGCCAAGCAGUUGCCACACUGUCAGCCAGCUGAGGGACUCCACCACAAAUAAUUACGCAUGACUAGUUAAAUGAACAGGUAGCUGCACAAAGUCUCGCUUCGGAGAGGCUGUCAGUCACCGC